GAUGAACGCUGGCGGCGUGCUUAACACAUGCAAGUCGAACGAAGCACUUUAUUUGAUUUCCUUCGGGACUGAUUCUUUUGUGACUGAGUGGCGGACGGGUGAGUAACGCGUGGGUAACCUGCCUUGUACAGGGGGAUAACAGUUGGAAACGGCUGCUAAUACCGCAUAAGCGCACGGCAUCGCAUGAUGCAGUGUGAAAAACUCCGGUGGUAUAAGAUGGACGCGCGUUGGAUUGGCUAGUUGGUGAGGUAACGGCACACCAAGGCGACGAUCCAUAGCCGACCUGAGAGGGUGACCGGCUACAUUGGGACUGAGACACGGCCCAAACUCCGACGGGAAGGAGCGGUGGGGAAUAUUGCACAAUGGGCGAAAGCGUGAUGCAGCGACGCGGCGUGAGCGAAGAAGUAUGUCGGUAUGUAAAGCUCUAUCAGCAGGGAAGAUAAUGACGGUACCUGAUUAAGAAGCACCGGCUAAAUACGUG
This 481-nucleotide ribosomal RNA is filed under the name uncultured bacterium. Its description in RNAcentral is "partial 16S ribosomal RNA". It matches the Rfam family "Bacterial small subunit ribosomal RNA", at positions 28 to 507 of the family's 1533-position model. The record is from RNAcentral.